CAGGGACAUCUCAUAACAAAAGUCAUGAGAAACUGCAUUUUACAGAUCCUCUCUGAUAGAAUUUUUCUUCCUAGACUUUACUUGGUUACAACUGGUAAUAGCAGCUCAGGUUGGCUGGCUUCUGUUUCAAUCACCACAGGACUGGGGAAUCCUCUAACUUCAGCCACAUGGGAAAGAGAAAUGAAGUUCACCAUAUCUCACAGUAAUAUGAAUUUUGCCAAAUUUCAUGGGAACAGACAGCUAAAUGAAGGUGUACUUUUGAGGCUUUCAGGAGACUUUUGGGUAAAUUCAGCUGUGAUAAGAGCAUCCACACAGGAAUGUAUUCCUCAAAAUGAAAAUCUUCGCCACAGUUUUUGUGAUGACAACAGAUAGACCUGUAUCUAAAUGGACCUGUGGGAGAGACAGGAGAGAUCAACAUACUGCGGGAGUUCACUUUCAAGGAAAGGCCAAACUCUUGCUGCA
This is a long non-coding RNA of Gallus gallus (chicken), 462 nucleotides long. The record is from Ensembl. NCBI's taxonomy places the organism in Eukaryota, Metazoa, Chordata, Aves, Galliformes, Phasianidae.